GAUACAGGGUGAUAGUCCCGUAGUUGACGACGUGUGUUCAGUGAAAUCGAGUAGGGCGGGACACGUGAUAUCCUGUCUGAAUAUGGGGGGACCAUCCUCCAAGGCUAAAUACUACUGACUGACCGAUAGUGAACCAGUACCGUGAGGGAAAGGCGAAAAGAACCCCUGUGAGGGGAGUGAAAUAGAACCUGAAACCGUGUACGUACAAGCAGUAGGAGCAGGCUUUGUCCUGUGACUGCGUACCUUUUGUAUAAUGGGUCAGCGACUUAUAUUCAGUGGCAAGGUUAACCAUCUAGGGGAGCCGUAGGGAAACCGAGUCUUAACUGGGCGUUCAGUCUCUGGAUAUAGACCCGAAACCAGGUGAUCUAGCCAUGGGCAGGUUGAAGGUUGAGUAACAUCAACUGGAGGACCGAACCGACUAAUGUUGAAAAAUUAGCGGAUGACUUGUGGCUAGGGGUGAAAGGCCAAUCAAACCUGGAGAUAGCUGGUUCUCCCCGAAAGCUAUUUAGGUAGCGCCUCGGACGAAUACUACUGGGGGUAGAGCACUGUUAAGGCUAGGGGGUCAUCCCGACUUACCAACCCUUUGCAAACUCCGAAUACCAGUAAGUACUAUCCGGGAGACACACGGCGGGUGCUAACGUCCGUCGUGGAGAGGGAAACAACCCAGACCGCCAGCUAAGGUCCCAAAUUACUACUAAGUGGGAAACGAUGUGGGAAGGCUCAGACAGCCAGGAUGUUGGCUUAGAAGCAGCCAUCAUUUAAAGAAAGCGUAAUAGCUCACUGGUCGAGUCGGCCUGCGCGGAAGAUGUAACGGGGCUAAGUAGUAAACCGAAGCUGCGGCAAUAUACUUUUGUAUAUUGGGUAGGGGAGCGUUCUGUAAGCGGUUGAAGGUGUGUGGUAACGCAUGCUGGACGUAUCAGAAGUGCGAAUGCUGACAUGAGUAACGAUAAAGGGGGUGAAAAACCUCCUCGCCGGAAGACCAAGGGUUCCUGUCCAACGUUAAUCGGGGCAGGGUAAGUCGACCCCUAAGGCGAGGCCGAAAGGCGUAGUCGAUGGGAAACGGGUUAAUAUUCCCGUACUUCUUACAAUUGCGAUGGGGGGACGGAGAAGGCUAGGUGGGCCUGGCGACGGUUGUCCAGGUUCAAGUGCGUAGGCUUAAGAGUUAGGUAAAUCCGGCUCUUUUUAAGGCUGAGACACGACGUCGAGCACCUACGGGUGUGAAGUCAUUGAUGCCAUGCUUCCAGGAAAAGCCUCUAAGCUUCAGAUUGUAAGGAAUCGUACCCCAAACCGACACAGGUGGUCGGGUAGAGAAUACCAAGGCGCUUGAGAGAACUCGGGUGAAGGAACUAGGCAAAAUGGUACCGUAA
RNAcentral lists this ribosomal RNA (1367 nucleotides) under Vibrio parahaemolyticus. RNAcentral's name for it is "partial 23S ribosomal RNA". It matches the Rfam family "Bacterial large subunit ribosomal RNA", at positions 354 to 1733 of the family's 2925-position model. The record is from RNAcentral. Lineage: Bacteria; Pseudomonadati; Pseudomonadota; Gammaproteobacteria; Vibrionales; Vibrionaceae.